This 301-nucleotide ribosomal RNA is filed under the name uncultured bacterium. RNAcentral's name for it is "partial 16S ribosomal RNA". It matches the Rfam family "Bacterial small subunit ribosomal RNA", at positions 509 to 807 of the family's 1533-position model. The record is from RNAcentral.
CAGCCGCCGCGGGAAAACGAAGGGGGCUAGCGUUGUUCGGGUUUACUGGGCGUAAAGGGUGCGUAGGCGGACUGAUAAGUCAGGGGUGAAAUCCCAAGGCUCAACCUUGGAACUGCCUUUGAUACUGUUAGUCUUGAGUUCGAGAGAGGUGAGUGGAACUGCGAGUGUAGAGGUGAAAUUCGUAGAUAUUCGCAAGAACACCAGUGGCGAAGGCGGCUCACUGGCUCGAAACUGACGCUGAGGCACGAAAGCGUGGGGAGCAAACAGGAUUAGAUACCCCCGUAGUCCCUGUCUCUUAUAC